RNAcentral lists this ribosomal RNA (425 nucleotides) under uncultured bacterium. RNAcentral describes it as "bacterial SSU rRNA". It matches the Rfam family "Bacterial small subunit ribosomal RNA", at positions 354 to 796 of the family's 1533-position model. The record is from RNAcentral.
GUGGGGAAUCUUGGACAAUGGGGGCAACCCUGAUCCAGCGAUGCCGCGUGAAUGAAGAAGGCCUUAGGGUUGUAAAGUUCUUUCACCCGUGACGAUAAUGACGGUAGCGGGAGAAGAAGCCCCGGCUAACUCCGUGCCAGCAGCCGCGGUAAGACGGAGGGGGCUAGCGUUGUUCGGAAUGACUGGGCGUAAAGGGCGUGUAGGCUGUUGAUCAAGUCAAGCGUGAAAGCCUCGGGCUUAACCCGAGAAUGGCGUUUGAUACUGGUUGACUUGAGGGCGAGAGAGGAAAGUGGAAUUCCGAGUGUAGAGGUGAAAUUCGUAGAUAUUCGGAGGAACAUCAGAGGCGAAGGCGACUUUCUGGCUCGUAUCUGACGCUGAGGCGCGAAAGCGUGGGGAGCAAACAGGAUUAGAAACCCGUGUAGUCC